This 346-nucleotide unclassified non-coding RNA is filed under the name soil metagenome. RNAcentral describes it as "partial contains 5.8S ribosomal RNA, internal transcribed spacer 2, and large subunit ribosomal RNA". The stretch from base 1 to 120 matches the Rfam family "5.8S ribosomal RNA", at positions 35 to 154 of the family's 154-position model. The record is from RNAcentral.
GAUGAAGAACGCAGCGAAAUGCGAUAAGUAAUGCGAAUUGCAGAAUUCAGUGAGUCAUCGAAUCUUUGAACGCACAUUGCGCCCCCUGGUAUUCCGGGGGGCAUGCCUGUCCGAGCGUCAUUGCUGCCCUCAAGCACGGCUUGUGUGUUGGGCCCCGUCCUCCGAUCCCGGGGGACGGGCCCGAAAGGCAGCGGCGGCACCGCGUCCGGUCCUCGAGCGUAUGGGGCUUUGUCACCCGCUCUGUAGGCCCGGCCGGCGCUUGCCGAUCAACCCAAAUUUUUAUCCAGGUUGACCUCGGAUCAGGUAGGGAUACCCGCUGAACUUAAGCAUAUCAAUAAGCGGAGGA